UCGCCUACGGGGGGCUGCAGGCGCGAAAACUUUACAAUGCGGGAAACCGUGAUAAGGGAACUCCGAGUGCCCGUUAAAUCGGGCUGUCCACCAGUUUAAAUAACUGGUGAAGAAAGGGCCGGGCAAGACCGGUGCCAGCCGCCGCGGUAAUACCGGCGGCUCGAGUGGUGGCCACUAUUACUGGGCUUAAAGCGUUCGUAGCUGGUUUGUUAAGUCUCUGGGGAAAUCUACCGGCUUAACCGGUAGGCGUCUCAGGGAUACUGGCAGACUAGGGACCGGGAGAGGUGAGAGGUACUCCAGGGGUAGGAGUGAAAUCCUGUAAUCCUUGGGGGACCACCUGUGGCGAAGGCGUCUCACCAGAACGGCUCCGACAGUGAGGGACGAAAGCUGGGGGAGCAAACCGGAUUAGAUACCCCGGUAGUC
RNAcentral lists this ribosomal RNA (423 nucleotides) under uncultured Methanoregula sp. RNAcentral's name for it is "bacterial SSU rRNA". It matches the Rfam family "Archaeal small subunit ribosomal RNA", at positions 319 to 746 of the family's 1478-position model. The record is from RNAcentral. Lineage: Archaea; Methanobacteriati; Methanobacteriota; Methanomicrobia; Methanomicrobiales; Methanoregulaceae.